This 3466-nucleotide long non-coding RNA is filed under the name Coffea arabica (coffee). RNAcentral describes it as "long non-coding RNA (CARA_LNC004619)". Lineage: Eukaryota; Viridiplantae; Streptophyta; Magnoliopsida; Gentianales; Rubiaceae. The record is from RNAcentral.
CUGUUUUUUUUUUUAAUAUUUUUUAGGAAUAUGCUUUUUGGUUGAUCAAUAAGCUCAAGCCUUCGGACCUAUAAACUUGGCCGUGUUGGUUUUGGAUUGAAAUCUCUGCUUCCAAGGCGCCUAGACACCAUGCAGUGAGUUUUUCUUGGCAUUUUUGCAUUGAUGAAAGGCUGUAAUUUUUAAAACUUGUUCCUUUGCUUAUUCCUUAUUGUUCUAGAUAUUAACUUUUGCUAAUUUUACUAAGGUAGAAGAACUGUUUGAUUUGUAUUUGUGAUGCUAUAAAUGUUAGUUUCUUGGUUAGGAAUUAUGAGUAGAGUGGGAGAGAAAUGCUUCCUAGCUCUCUCUCUCUCUCUCUCUCUCUCUCUCUAUCUAUCUCUCUCUCAUUUUAAUAGUAUAAGUGAAAGGGCUCGAACCAGGACCUCUCACUUACACUCUCUCCCCCCUAGCCACCCGACCCAUCCCUCCUUCAUGCGUCCCAGUUCUUGUUAACUAUAAGACAAUAAAAAUGUUGUAAUUUGUGUGGAAUUUGCAUCAUAAAAAUCCUGCUUGUUUAGGAGUUGGGGGCUGUUAGGACACAAGUUCUUGUUGUUUUGGCCAUAUUAAUAAAGAGUUCUGAGUUAUAUUAGAAAAAAUAACAGGGUGGGGUAUUGUUGAAUUAAUGUGGUUGUCUAGUUGUGAUAUUAUGUUGCAGAUCCAUAUUAUUUGCGGUUUGGAUGGAUUUUUCUAUUUGAUCAAGGUGAUCAAUAGGAUGUAAUUGUUGAAAUGAAUAUCUAUAAUUUUUUUAGCUGGCAUUUGAAAUGUUAGCUUGGCCCAGUAAUACAGAAGCGGGGUGGAGUGAUUUUGUGUGCUUGUGCUUACUUGAGGAAGUGGCUGCGGCUAAACAGCUUAAUUUAGUGAAAGCAGAGGAAUGAAAUACCAAUCUUCAUCACAUGAAUAAUUUGGAUUAUUACUUUAAGGAAUUUGCCUGAUUGAAUUAAAUUAUGCAUACUGGUUUAUAUCAAAUGCUAGUGGUAGAGAUAAUUAAUAGGCUUAUAUAGUAGUUUGAAAAGUUUUAACUACAUUGUUUGUACUUGCCUUAAAAUUCUUGAGCCGCUAAUUGACCAUUGAGUAUUGCAAUAGUUGUUCCUGUUGUCUAAUGGUUUACCAACUUCACUUAUUAUGUUUUGCUUUUGCAUCUAUGUGGUUGUAAUCUGCUUAGUUUCUGUGCGUUUCCAUAUGGUACUUAUAUUUAAAAUCUAUCCAAUUAUGUAUUUAAAUCUAUUUUCCAAAUAUUGCCUGUGAAGUUGAGUGAUGGAAUUUCAACUUUGGCUGUUUGUAGAAGAUAUUUAUUCUCUGAAUUUAAUUUGGUCAUCUUUCCAAUUACAGAACAAGGAAAAUUUUUGGGAUUUCCCUGUCCCUGAUUAUCAUUAACAUGGCUGCUAUAAUGGAGCGAGCUGAUGAAAAUCUCCUUCCAUCUGUUUACAAAGAAGUCAGUGAAGCUUUUUCUGCAGGGCCAUCUGAUCUUGGUUAUCUGACUUUUAUACGCAAUUUCAUUCAGGGAUUGGCUUCUCCAGUAGCAGGUAUAUUAGCGAUUAGUUAUGACCGCCCUACUGUUCUUGCGGUUGGUACUCUCUGCUGGGCCUUGUCAACAGCUGCAGUAGGUGUUAGCCAGGACUUUUUACAAGUUGCAUGUUGGAGAGCAGUAAAUGGUUUUGGACUGGCUAUUGUGAUUCCAGCACUUCAGUCUUUCAUUGCUGAUAGCUAUGUUGAUCGUGUGCGAGGGACUGGUUUUGGGUUUCUAAAUCUCGUUGGUACUGUGGGUGGUAUAGGAGGUGGAGCAAUUGCUACAGUUAUGGCUGGUCAUAAUUUCUGGGGUAUACCUGGAUGGAGAUUUGCCUUCAUGGUGAUGGCAGCAUUGAGCUGUUUGAUUGCUUUUCUUGUUCAUGCAUUUGUUGCUGACCCAAGAAGAAGAACUACUACUAACCACGAUACCAGCCAGGCUUUGUUCAGGUACAAGCUACUUCAACCUGUAACUUUGUGGGUGCUGAAUUUGUUAGAAAUCUCGUUGUCUCCCACUGUAUAUUUUCUGCCUUCAAGUAGAUAAAAGAUCAUUUCGUACAUAGUCAUCAGUUGAUGGUUUGCUGUGAAGCUUUCUCUCAUUGCGUAAUAAUGUGAUCUCCUUUCUGGUUUAGGGAUGAAGUGAUGGAUAAGGGAAAUGCUAACUCAGUGUCACUUUGGGUGGAAUCAUGGCAAGCAAUGAAAGCUGUUACAAGAGUUCCCACUUUCCAAUACAUUGUGUUGCAGGGUCUUGUUGGUUCACUGCCUUGGACAGCCCUAGUAUUUUUGACGCUGUGGUUUGAACUAAUUGGUAAUCUUGGCACAUGUGAUACCCAUUGUUUUUGCCUCUUGACUCGUACUUUCUACAGAUAUGUUAAAUAGGUUUUGUUUCCAAUAAUUGCACCUUGAGAUCCACAUUCAUUAUGGUCCUUUCUUCAUUGUUUCUGAAAUUUAAUUGGUUUGAUUUCCUACUCUACUUUUUGAGGCAUUAUGCAUGAAUUAUUGAUUUGGCAUGUGAACUUGGGAACUCAACCAUGAGAACAGAGAAGUUGCUCAUAGUGUGUUUAGGCGGAGAUAUGAGCAACAUCAGGCAGGUUUCAGACCUAGCUGCAUGAUAGAAAGAAUGCCUUCAAAUUUAAGACAAAUUUCUUGUCUUUCCUCCUUUUAAAACAUCUAGGAUGAAUGAAAAAUGCUCCCUUCCCAACCCCAGCUGGGUGCAAGGCUACCACCCUUCAUUCACCACCUAAAAACAAUAUAUAUAUAUAUAUAUAUAUGUUGGGGUUUUAGGUGCUGAAAUUAAUUGUAAGGUCUAUUUGCUUGUUGAUUCUAGCUUUGAUGUAGAGAAUGCGUUGCAAAUUUUUUGGCAGGUUUUGAUCACAACAGUUCAGCAGCCCUUGUCGGUAUCUUUGCUGCUGGAUGUGCACUGGGGUCUUUCGUUGGUGGAAUAAUUGCAGAUCAAAUGUCACGCUUAUACCCAAAUUCAGGGCGCAUAAUGUGUGCACAGUUCUGUGCUUUUAUGGGCAUUCCAUUCUCAUGGUUCCUUCUGAGAGUUAUCCCACAGUCUGUGAGCAGCUAUUCGACAUAUGCUGUCACCCUCUUCUUGAUGGGCCUUACUAUUAGCUGGUGUGCUACUGCUACAAAUGGUCCAAUGUUUGCUGAGGUUGUCCCUGUGAAACAUCGGACCAUGAUUUAUGCAUUUGAUCGUGCUUUUGAAGUAUCCUUUUCUUCUUUUGCUGCCCCUGUGGUUGGAAUUCUUGCAGAAAAGAUGUAUGGCUACGAUCCAAAAUCUGUUGAUCCUGUUGUAGGGUCCGGAAGAGAAGCCUUGGCUUUGUCAAGAGGCCUUUUCUCCAUGAUGGCAGUUCCAUUUGGUUUGUGCGGUUUAUUUUACACACCUUUGUAUUGGAAUUUCGGGCAUGAUCGAGAAAAUGCU